UAAUACGUAGGUGGCAAGCGUUGUCCGGAAUCAUUGGGCGUAAAGGGCGCGUAGGCGGUUAUUUAAGUCAGUUGUGAAAACUUUGGGCUUAACCCAGAGAUUGCAGUUGAUACUGGGUAACUUGAGUGCAGGAGAGGACAGUGGAAUUCCUAGUGUAGCGGUGAAAUGCGUAGAUAUUAGGAGGAACACCAGUGGCGAAGGCGGCUGUCUGGACUGUAACUGACGCUGAGGCGCGAAAGCGUGGGGAGCAAACAGG
RNAcentral lists this ribosomal RNA (256 nucleotides) under uncultured bacterium. Its description in RNAcentral is "partial 16S ribosomal RNA". It matches the Rfam family "Bacterial small subunit ribosomal RNA", at positions 521 to 776 of the family's 1533-position model. The record is from RNAcentral.